UUUGACCUCAAAUCAGGUAGGACUACCCGCUGAACUUAAGCAUAUCAAUAAGCGGAGGAAAAGAAACUAACAAGGAUUCCCCUAGUAACUGCGAGUGAAGCGGGAAAAGCUCAAAUUUGAAAUCUGGCAGUCUUUUUUUUCUUCUUUGGCUGUCCGAGUUGUAAUCUAGAGAAGUGCUUACCUGCACUGGACCAUGUAUAAGUCUCCUGGAAUGGAGCCUCACAGAGGGUGAGAAUCCCGUCUUUGACAUGGACCGCCAGUGCGUUGUGGUGCGCUCUCAAAGAGUCGAGUUGUUUGGGAAUGCAGCUCUAAAUGGGUGGUAAACUCCAUCUAAAGCUAAAUAUUGGCGAGAGACCGAUAGC
This 362-nucleotide ribosomal RNA is filed under the name Amanita constricta. Its description in RNAcentral is "partial 28S ribosomal RNA". It matches the Rfam family "Eukaryotic large subunit ribosomal RNA", at positions 1 to 341 of the family's 3401-position model. The record is from RNAcentral. Lineage: Eukaryota; Fungi; Basidiomycota; Agaricomycetes; Agaricales; Amanitaceae.